This 497-nucleotide ribosomal RNA is filed under the name uncultured bacterium. RNAcentral's name for it is "partial 16S ribosomal RNA". It matches the Rfam family "Bacterial small subunit ribosomal RNA", at positions 28 to 507 of the family's 1533-position model. The record is from RNAcentral.
GAUCAACGCUGGCGGCGUUCCUAAUACACGCAAGUCGAGCGAACGGACCAGAAGCUUCCUUCUCUGAUCUUACCGGCGGACGGGUUAGUAACACGUGGAUAACCUACCUCUAAGACUCGGAUAACUUCCGGAAACCGGACCUAAUACCGCCUGAUAUCUUUAACCGCAUGUUUCAAACGUGAAAGACGCUCUUGCUGUCACUUAUAGAUGGAUCCGCGCUGCAUUAGAUAGUUUCUAAGGUAACGGCUGACCAAGGCAACGAUGCAUAGCCGACCUGAGAGGGUGAGCGGCCAGACUGGAGCUGAGAAGCGGUCCAGACUCCUACGGGCGGCCGCGGUAGGGAAGCUUCCGCAAUGGGCGAAGGCCUGACGGAGCAACGCCGCGUGAGUGAUGAAGGUCUUCGGAGCGUAAGACUGUGUUAGGAGGGAAGAAAAUAAGUGUAAGUGAGUGUGCACAUCGUGACGGUACCUAAUCAGAAAGCGACGGCUAGCUACGUG